Molecule: RNA transcript, 2028 nt
Organism: Thunnus maccoyii (southern bluefin tuna)
Lineage: Eukaryota; Metazoa; Chordata; Actinopteri; Scombriformes; Scombridae
Gene: pgpep1l
Gene name: pyroglutamyl-peptidase I like
Exons: 7
Source: RefSeq, a predicted model, not a curated record
UAUUGCAUUUUCCUUGUAAUUAAGUUAGGCUACAUGCCUAAUGUUAAUUUAUAACCUUCAAAGUGCUAUGCCCAUUAUAGGCUACUGUAAAUCAAACUACACUUAAGAUUUUUUUCUUUCAAAUUUUAUUGUCAUCUAUAUAGGAACCCACAGGAAAUUCAAUGAAAUCCUUGUACCAAGGCACCCUCAAUUUUAACAAAUCUGAAAAUAAAAAUACACACGUCAAGAAAACCGCUGUUUAUUAGAUUGUAAUUUAUUGUUUCCGGUAAAAAGCCUUCAAAUGUAGCCUGUUUUCCGACCGUUUAUAUUUAUAUGUCAUCAUUCGCAUAAUAAAGUAUAAAGAAGUGUAGUGAGUACAUUCUGUAUGUCCUAAAUUGUAAAAAUUGAGUGAACACGAAAUUCAGUUUGAUUAUCACGCUAUUUAAAAUGUGCGACAGCUUGUCUUGGACUUGAAUUGGAUACUAGAAUUUACCGGAGGUCCCUGAAUGCGUCGUCUCCACCCGAUCUUACUCAUUCGCCGGAGAAUCGCGCCACCAAGUGGACGAAAGACGAGUUGCAGGAGCCAAAAUAAGCUUGUCCUUUUUUAAUGUCAAGUUAUGAAAUCCGUAACAACGUCUGUGUUUUCUUUCUGACCGAGUAAACCUGACUGCGUCAUGAAUGAGAGCGAAACUGUGGUCGUUACAGGGUUUGGACCUUUCAGGCAGUUCUUAGUGAACCCCAGCUGGACAGCAGCACAGGGGUUGAAGUUGGUCGGAUUGGGUGAGCGGAUUGAUGUUUACACCAAGGAGGUAGCAGUGAGUUACUUCAAAACCCAGCAGAUCAUUGCUGAGAUUUGGCAAACUCUUAAACCAAAGUUUGCUGUUCAUCUGGGUAUCGCCAGAGGUUCCCGAGUCGUCAUAUUAGAGCAAACAGGGAAGAACAGUGGAUACAAAGACAGAGAUAUGUGUGGCUUCUGUCCUGAAAGUCACUGCUGUGUGGAAGGAGCGCAGGAGAAACUGGACUCGGUGGUUAACAUGAGAGCUGUUGCCAAACACUUCAAACAAGCAGGGAUGGAUGUAAUUUAUUCAAGAGAUGCUGGCAGGUACCUGUGUGAUUUUGCGUAUUACUGCUCACUGUAUCACGGUCAGGGGAGAGCGGCCCUCAUCCAUGUACCCUCGUCUGGCAGCCUGGCCUCAGCUGACAGACUGGUGCUUCUUCUACAGAGCAUCAUUCAGAGCAUGCUCGGCCAGCUGGAGGACCCUUCACAAACAACUUGAAGAGAUGAUGACAGCUGAUUCCUCAAGCUAGCAGACACAGCAUUGUAUGAACUUCGGGGUUCACUACACUUCAGCAGUCUCCUGGAAAUCUCCAUUAAGUCACUACAGCAGAUGCGACCAGCAGCAGCCUGACUUCCCUGUGUGUUUCUCACAGACCAGGAGGCAAACCCCCACCCCCCCACCCACCACCUCUGUAACACAAUCCACACACUCCUGUAAUCAGGGCAAAACAGUCAGGCUGCCAUAGAAACCAGAGGUUUGUGUCUGCACAACACUUGGCCUUGUUUUUUUCUACUCACUCUCUCUUUCUAAGGUGAGGUCAGCCGUGGAGAGUGGGAGGGGAGAGAGCAGAAUGCCUUCUUAUUGAGACACCAUCACCGUCAUCAUGGCCCUUCGCAGCGGCAGGAAUGAAGGGCAUCUUUCACACACGGGUCGUGGCAUCCCUUCUAUGGGCCGAGACAGAUGGGUGAGGAGUCCUCUCACUGCCAGCUGACCACCAGGGCCAUGUCGUCAACGGACCACAUUUAACCUGUGACGUUAAUGUCAGGCCUCAUCUUGGCUCUACCUUAGUGACACACCACAUGAUAUCUUACACACUUAGAACCACAACUUAAAAUAGAUGCUGGGCAAAAUAUUAAUGGGACACACAUCGUGUGAGACGGUGGCAGUAGAGGAUAAAACAAUACAUACUUCAAGGAUGUUAGAACAUUAAUCCAGAAGGCCUAAAAUGGGCAAAAUUACACGGUUAUUGAUCGCAGGUACAGAAAGACUU